RNAcentral lists this long non-coding RNA (2442 nucleotides) under Heterocephalus glaber (naked mole-rat). RNAcentral's name for it is "lncRNA (ENSHGLG00000035474.1)". The record is from RNAcentral. Lineage: Eukaryota; Metazoa; Chordata; Mammalia; Rodentia; Bathyergidae.
GUAAGUGGCUUUGAUCCCCACCAUGAUGAGCUGGCCAUAAGCCCUAAAACAGUGGGCCUAAGUGACCAUGGACUAGAGUCUCUGAGACUGUGAUUUUACAUAACACUUGCCUUCCUGCUGGCUGUUGUGUUACAGGGAUACAAAGGUGAGGAAUACAUUUUUUUUUUUUUUUUUUUAACCCUUAGAAUCUCUCAUGUGUAUAUCCUAAGGUCAAGAGCAUUCUCUUACCCAAACUCAGGCCAGUGACUACCAUCACAACAUGAACAUGGCACACACUGCUGUCUGAUGCAUAUGUAUGAAUUUAUUGGGGGCAUUUAGUCAUCAGGCCUCCUCAGUCUCCUCCAAUCCUGAACAGUUCCUCAGUCUUCCUUGUCUUUGUGGUCUCAUCCUUUUUUUUUUUUUUGGUACCAGGGAUUGAACUCAGGACCUUGUGCUUGCAAGGCAGUUGACUGCACUACUGAGCUAACUCCCCAGCCCUCAUUCUUUUGGAAGUACACAGGAAAAUCACUUUGUGGAAUGCCACCAGUUGGGGUUUGUCAAGAGAUUAGGUGUGGGGCCUUUAAAGAAACUGAAAAUGAGGUUGGCUCCUCCUGUUAUCACGGCAGGAGGCCCCAAGGGCCAACAGUCUGUCGCUGUGCUGACAGGUACUGACUUUGAUCCAGGGUCAGGUGGAUACUCCACGUUUCUCCAAUGAAAAGUUACUGUUUUUCCUGUUAUAAUCAACAAGCAUUUCACCGGGCUAUACUUUUUUUUUUUUUUUGGUACCAGGGAAAGAACUCGGGGCCUUGGGCUUGCAAGGCAGCCGCUGGAACCACUGAGCUAAAUGCCCGGCCCCUGGGGCUAUACUUUUAAAUAUACUUUUAGACUUGCACUCUCUAAAUUUAGCAUACAAUGAUAAUUCUCGCCAGAAUCAACUGUUAUUAUGAUUAUUGUCAAAUCAUUGUGUUUCUAUGUCAUCUUUUAAAUAUAUAUUUAUUAAUGACUUUCAUUAUACAGUAAGGAAAACUGCCAUCCAUCCAUCUAUCCAUCAGUCAUCUAUCUCUCCAUUACUAAUGCUCAGUUUCUCAUUUUAUUCAGUGACUUGUUCUUUUAUCAUUAUUUAUUGUGAUGGUUAAAUCCUCAGGGCUGCUCCUGGGAGCCCCCUGAGCUGGCUCCUGUGUCCUAUGGACAUGUCCUCUUAUUCUCUGACCCUGUCCUUACUUUCUGACAUAACAAGAGGUCCAGGUUCAGAGUUGCCUGUCCUUGUUCCAGCCCUGGAAGCAGUAAAAUUAGGACUCAUACCUGAGUGCAGAGCUGCUCAUUGCUAAUGAUGUUUCUCAUCCCGGGCACUUUUGUUUUCAGGGGACCUUUGGCAGUGUCUGGAAACAGGUUUGGUUGUCUCCUGCUCAGGAGAAAGGUGUUAGAGCCGUCUAGUGGGCAGAGGUCAGGGAUGCUGACCAACAUCCUGCAGAACAUAGACGGCUCCUGAACAAAGAAUUACCAGGUUCCAAAGGUGCUUAGCGGGGAGCUGAGGUUCUUUGUUCUAACCUCUCAGCUGAUGGAGAUGGGAUGUAUACAUGGGACCACAACUGCAGGCUUUAUAUUGUCGGUUUCUACAUUGAAAACUAUGAGCUCACAUUGACACUAAUUCCAACACAAUCGGGUUCAUUCUAGUCAUCCUUUUCCUUGGCCAAUAAACCCAGAUUCCAUUAUCAUCAUUGAUUCCUUUACAGUGGACUCUUGACUUACAAACUCAAUUUGUUCCCGAGGGCUGGUUGUAACUCAAAUUGGUCAAUUGGAGGUUCAGACUCCUUUACACAGGCUUCAAAGUCUCUUUCUUGUAUACAGGCAGAUCUCCAUGUCCUUAGAGAGACAUUGGCCCAGGAUUUAUCAGUUAACCUCACACAGGAAAGGAUGGUAUAAUGUUCCUUCCAGAACUCUUUAAGGGUUAAAUCUGUAUCUGAGACCAUCUGGAAGCAUUUGGGUCAUAACUCAAGAUUUUGUUUGUAAGUUAAAACUAAAAUUCUGGUCAUAACCCAAGUUGUUCAUAUGUCAGGCUGGUCACAACUUGAGGGUCUACUUUAGUUUCCUAAUUCUAGAAUCUAAAAAAGUGAAGCAUUUUUUUAGAUUCAUGUUUCCCAGUUUGUUUGCAGAUUUGACUUCUGAAGUCCCCUCUCCUAAAAACAAAGGGUCUGAAGAUCAAAGUCAUCUGUGAAAGGUCGAAUAGAUUUAAUCAACUUCUUUAUUGCAGAAACAGCUCCUGGUCUGCUGCUGGCCCUUAGUGGAAACUGAAUGCUUGACCAUGGGAUGCCAUGUGACUGACCUGAGCUGCCCAUCAUGAGCUGGGUGCUCUGUGGCCCACCAGAUCAUAAAGUUGGAUGUCUACAGCAACAGCCCAUCAUUAAAUGGAAGUGGUAUAUAUGUGAUCGGGGUGAGCAGAUCAAGAAGGUAUAAGUAAGUUAC